CUACACUACACAAAAAAAACACUUUGAAACAAUUUAACAAUCGGUCGAUUUGGUAUUAUGCUUGUAAAUUCCAUCGAUUCAUCAAUUAAAUUAAUUAAGACUAAUCAGCAUCAAAAAUGAUUAAAAUGACAUUUUUUUGUAUUUCAAUAUCUUUGGCAUUAGUAAAUAAUUUGGUAGCUGUAUUGGAUCGAGAUUAUCGCAUGGACGUUGAGAAAGCAAACGCAGAAAUCGAGAUAGCAAGAAAUCAAGGUGUUUUGCCGGACCUAAUUCAAACCAUUGUUCGUGGAAAUUAUAC
Molecule: long non-coding RNA, 295 nt
Organism: Adelges cooleyi (spruce gall adelgid)
Lineage: Eukaryota; Metazoa; Arthropoda; Insecta; Hemiptera; Adelgidae
Exons: 5
Source: RefSeq, a predicted model, not a curated record